ACAAUGAGGCUCCCUGCUCAGCUCCUGGGGCUGCUAAUACUCUGGGUCCCUGGAUCCAGUGGGGAUAUAGUGAUGACCCAGACUCCACUCUCCCUGGCUGUCACCCCUGGAGAUCCGGUGUCCAUCUCCUGCAGGGCUAGUAAGAGCCUCCUGCACAGUGAUGGAAACACCUAUUCGUACUGGUUCCUGCAGAAGCCCGGCAGGUCUCCACAGCGCCUGAUCUAUUUUGUUUCCAACCGGGCCUCCGGAGUCCCAGACCGGUUCAAUGGCAGUGGGUCAGGGACAGAUUUCACCCUGAAGAUCAGCAGGGUGCAGGCUGAGGAUGCUGGGGAUUAUUACUGCUCGCAAGGUCUAGAAUAUCCUCACACAGUGAUACAGCCCCAAACACAAACCUCCCUGUUGGAUGGCCCAGGGCCCACCAGUGUUGUUUGUCUGGUGAGCAGGCACCAUACCAUGAGUUGCGAGGAACUCAGGGUAACAGGCAGUAGUGAAUGCUCCGGACCGUGA
This is a non-coding RNA of Otolemur garnettii (small-eared galago), 507 nucleotides long. The record is from the annotation of a RefSeq genome assembly. NCBI's taxonomy places the organism in Eukaryota, Metazoa, Chordata, Mammalia, Primates, Galagidae.